CUCAACAUCAUCAGUUCUUAGAGCUCUCUUGGAGUUCAUCUUCUUCAGAAGAUUUGUUAAGUUUUCUGGGAGGAUUUGCAGGAUAUCACUCUCAUUAUCCUCAUGGUUUGUGUUGUUGUCUCCAUUAGUGUGGGAUUUGUCAUGGAAGGCUGGCCAAAAGGAACGUAUGAUGGACUAGGUAUUCUGCUUAGUAUAUUCUUGGUAGUCGUUGUUACUGCAAUUAGUGAUUAUAGGCAUUCGUUGCAGUUCAGGGAUUUGGAUAAGGAGUACAAAAAAGUACUUAUCCAGGUCACAAGAGAUGGAUCCAGGCAAAAGGUUCCGAUUUAUAAUUGUUGUUGCGGUUCCAGAAGGACUGCCUCUGGCAGUGACAUUGAGUCUUGCAUUUGCAAUGAAAAAGCUAAUGGAUAAUAAGGCAUUGGUGAGACAUCUUUCCCCAUGUGAGACGAUGGGAUCAUCUACUUGCAUCUGCACAUAUAAGACAUGAACACUAACAACAAACCAAAUGGUAGUUAACAAGAUAUGGAUUUGUGAAAAAAUGAAAAAGGUAGAAACUGAUGCAAGUCGGGAUGCAAUAACUUUGACCAUACGUGAAAAUGAAAUGACAUUGCUGCUGCAGGCAAUAUUUCAUAAUACGGUAGCAGAGGUUGUUAAGGCAAAGGGCGGAAAGAAAUCUUUCCUUGGUACACCAACAGAAUCAGCAAUAUUAGAAUAUGGAUUGCUUCUUAGUGGUGAUAUUGACAAGCAAAGAAGGGGCUGUAAACUCCUGAAAUGCUCGAAUCUUGAAUGUAGGUGAAUACUCGAGCAUCACCAAUGGACAAGCUUGUGUGGCUACAGAACCACCACAUGAAGAACUAAUGAACAGACCUCUUGUUGGAAGGGAAGUGAGUUUGAUUUCCAAGACGAUGUGGAGAAAUAUAAUCGGACAAAGUAUCUUCCAACUAGCUAUACUUUUAGUUUCCAACUUCACGGGAAAGCAGAUUCUGAGGCUCGAAGGUUCAGAUGCUACCAUAGUUCUCAAUACUUUCAUUUUCAACAAUUUUGUUUUCUGUCAGGUUCGUAGGUGUCAUAACAUCCACUGUCGUUUUCCAAGUUAUCAUCGUUGAGUUCUUAGGCACGUUGGCAAGCACUACACCGCUCAACUGGAAACUAUGGCUACUCAGUGUUUUAAUUGGUGCUGCAAGCUUGAUAGUUGCAGUAAUAUUGAAGUUGAUACCUGUUGAACACAAGAAUAAGCAUCAUGAUGGUAAUAAUCUACUACCAAAUGGUCCAGAACUCGUCUAAGAGAAAGGAAGAUCAACCACCGCGAUAUGGAAUGACUCAUUUUCCUAUUCAAAGAUCAGCGCCCUGGCUCUGUGUUUUCACAUCGAGAAGUAAAAGGGACAAACAUAUGGUUUAAUUGGUCAAGGUUCGAGUGCGGUGAGAAAAGGAAAAGAAACAACCAAAUACAAAGAAAAUACAAGCUGAAGACUUUAAAUUCAGUCUCGAAAUUGCCCUUGCAUAUUGCCCUCGAGGUCCAACUAAACAUACAUUUCCUAUUUUUUUGCCACGAAACCAAUCUCGAACGUACAUACAUACAUAUAUCCACCAAUAUUUACCUUGUCCAUGAGAAAAAAUGUAAAGUUAAUACCACUAUAGUAAGCCAUUCAGGAGAAACCUUUCAGCAUGGAAGAUUCAUCAUUCGCGUAAAUGUGAUAUUGUUCGUGAUUUUCUUCCUCUCUUGUUGGUGAUGAUGAGCAUUGUGUACAGAAUAUCAUGUUUGGUGUAGCUCUGUUCUAUUAGUGUGUAGUCGGUCUAUAGUAGUGUGGUGUAGUCAUUUGUAUUUUGAUGUAAUGUUAGCAAUCUGCAGGUUACAACUAAUGUAAUGUCAUCGUGUUUUGCUUGUGGAAAAUUGUUAGUAAUCGUGUUAAUCUCUUGAUUGUAAUGGAAAAUCUCUUUGCAAUCUGCA
This is a long non-coding RNA of Solanum lycopersicum (tomato), 1945 nucleotides long. RefSeq lists it as uncharacterized. The record is from RefSeq and is a predicted model, not a curated record. Lineage: Eukaryota; Viridiplantae; Streptophyta; Magnoliopsida; Solanales; Solanaceae.